GUCGUUGUAGUAUAGUGGUGAGUAUCCCCGCCUGUCACGCGGGAGACCCGGGUUCGAUCCCCGGCAACAGCG
Molecule: transfer RNA, 72 nt
Organism: Ipomoea nil (Japanese morning glory)
Lineage: Eukaryota; Viridiplantae; Streptophyta; Magnoliopsida; Solanales; Convolvulaceae
Rfam family: tRNA
About the family: Transfer RNA (tRNA) molecules are approximately 80 nucleotides in length. Their secondary structure includes four short double-helical elements and three loops (D, anti-codon, and T loops).
Source: Rfam